This 460-nucleotide ribosomal RNA is filed under the name uncultured bacterium. RNAcentral's name for it is "partial 16S ribosomal RNA". It matches the Rfam family "Bacterial small subunit ribosomal RNA", at positions 338 to 795 of the family's 1533-position model. The record is from RNAcentral.
CCUACGGGAGGCAGCAGUGAGGAAUAUUGGUCAAUGGACGAGAGUCUGAACCAGCCAAGUAGCGUGAAGGAUGACUGCCCUAUGGGUUGUAAACUUCUUUUAUAUGGGAAUAAAAUGUUCCACGUGUGGGAUUUUGUAUGUACCAUAUGAAUAAGGAUCGGCUAACUCCGUGCCAGCAGCCGCGGUAAUACGGAAGAUUCGAGCGUUAUCCGGGUUUAUUUGGUUUAAAGGGGUGGUAGGUGGAAUGUUAAGUUAGUCGUGAAACAUUGCGGCUCAAACGUAAAAUUGCCGUUGAAACUGGCGGUCUUGAGUGCAGUAGAGGUGGGCGGAAUUCGUGGUGUAGCGGUGAAAUGCUUAGAUAUCACGAAGAACUCCGAUUGCGAAGGCAGCUCACUGGACUGCAACUGACACUGAAGCUCGAAAGUGUGGGUAUCAAACAGGAUUAGAUACCCCAGUAGUC